This 533-nucleotide ribosomal RNA is filed under the name Thalassobacter sp. 1WS1 18. Its description in RNAcentral is "bacterial SSU rRNA". It matches the Rfam family "Bacterial small subunit ribosomal RNA", at positions 366 to 918 of the family's 1533-position model. The record is from RNAcentral. Lineage: Bacteria; Pseudomonadati; Pseudomonadota; Alphaproteobacteria; Rhodobacterales; Roseobacteraceae.
AGAAACUGGGCGCAGCCUGAUCUAGCCAUGCCGCGUGAGUGAUGAAGGCCCUAGGGUCGUAAAGCUCUUUCGCCAGAGAUGAUAAUGACAGUAUCUGGUAAAGAAACCCCGGCUAACUCCGUGCCAGCAGCCGCGGUAAUACGGAGGGGGUUAGCGUUGUUCGGAAUUACUGGGCGUAAAGCGCGCGUAGGCGGACUAUUAAGUUAGAGGUGAAAUCCCAGGGCUCAACCCUGGAACUGCCUUUAAUACUGGUAGUCUUGAGUUCGAGAGAGGUGAGUGGAAUUCCAAGUGUAGAGGUGAAAUUCGUAGAUAUUUGGAGGAACACCAGUGGCGAAGGCGGCUCACUGGCUCGAUACUGACGCUGAGGUGCGAAAGUGUGGGGAGCAAACAGGAUUAGAUACCCUGGUAGUCCACACCGUAAACGAUGAAUGCCAGUCGUCGGGUAGCAUGCUGCUCGGUGACACACCUAACGGAUUAAGCAUUCCGCCUGGGGAGUACGGUCGCAAGAUUAAAACUCAAAUGAUUUGACGGGG